Parabacteroides sp. is the source of this 199-nucleotide small RNA. It matches the Rfam family "Bacteroidales-1 6S-Bacteroidales RNA suggested". The record is from Rfam. Lineage: Bacteria; Pseudomonadati; Bacteroidota; Bacteroidia; Bacteroidales; Tannerellaceae.
CACCACAUCAAAGUAGAUUGGGAAACUCAUCAAUUAAUAAUGAAAUACCGAGACAAGCUUAGCUGUCUGAUGGCGGGCCCCAUCCCUCUUUUUCGGAGAGUGGAGGUGUCUACGACACCAAGGCGGAUUACAAAGGAUGGCGAGCGCUCAAAUCCUGUCAUUCGGAGUUUCAUCGCAUUCCUUUGAUGUGGCACUUUAA